AGCAUUUAAGUUAAAACUAUGCCAAUACCUUCAGAGUUAGCUCCUUCAGCUGACCUUCAGGUGCUUUCGAGGUACUGCUUGCAUGCAAACACACCGAUUGGGCAUACAAUCGGCCAGUUAAUUGCAUAAAAGCAAUGAGAGCCAGGUGCUCUCGGGCCGGCUAAUCAGUUCAAAAGCUUGAACCAUAAGCGACACCUGGCCCAGACUCUGACUUGGACUUAAAUAGAAGGGCUGCUGUUGUCUGUUGGCAUAACUGAGCUGGGCUGAGCUAAGCAGCACAACGACCACUUUCAAUCAUAAAUUAACAUUAGAAUUUUAAAUGUGCGACUAAUUAAAAAUAGUUGGGCGAAAAAAAAAAACCUGUGAGAUUUCAUGCCCCAAGCUGUUGCCGCUGCACUCGCUCGAACAAUUACAAGAAAAUUGUGGAUUUAAUUUCCAUUUGAUAGUCGUCGGUUGCCAAGCGCUAUUCAAUUCAGCCCGACCCGCCCCGACCCACCUGGCUGGCCAGCGCCCACAGUCCAGGCCCAAGCAACAGGUGGCCCACAAAGUCUGCCAGGCAGCUGGCCAACGGGUCGUAUGAGCAUUGUGAUGUGGACCCGAGAGCGGAGCUGUGGGUGGGCCGGGUUUACCCAUGAUUAUUGAAUUUGCAGCUCUUUAGCGCGCUUUCAUUGUCUGUUUUAAGCAUGUCAAUAUUUUGGUUUUAGUUAAAUAAACAUCACAAUUGGAUACAAUCA
Molecule: non-coding RNA, 734 nt
Organism: Drosophila virilis
Lineage: Eukaryota; Metazoa; Arthropoda; Insecta; Diptera; Drosophilidae
Source: RefSeq, a predicted model, not a curated record